AUUGAACGCUAGCGGGAUGCUUUACACAUGCAAGUCGAACGAGUGGCGGACGGGUGAGUAAUAUAUCGGAACGUGCCCAGUAGCGGGGGAUAACUACUCGAAAGAGUGGCUAAUACCGCAUACUAUCUGAACGGCCCAUGUCGGAUUAGCUAGUUGGUGGGGUAAAGGCUCACCAAGGCCACGAUCCGUAGCUGGUUUGAGAGGACGACCAGCCACACUGGGACUGAGACACGGCGCAGACUACUACGGGAGGCAGCAGUGGGGAAUUUUGGACAAUGGGGGAAACCCUGAUGCAGCCAUCCCGCGUGUAUGAGAAGGCCUUCGGGUUGUAAAGUACUUUUGGCAGAGAAGCGGUAUCUGCAGAAGAAGCACCGGCUAACUACGUGCCAGCAGCCGCGGUAAUUC
Molecule: ribosomal RNA, 405 nt
Filed under: uncultured bacterium
Lineage: Bacteria
Description: partial 16S ribosomal RNA
Rfam family: Bacterial small subunit ribosomal RNA
Source: RNAcentral